This 432-nucleotide long non-coding RNA is filed under the name Danio rerio (zebrafish). RNAcentral describes it as "lncRNA si:dkey-166k9.2 (ENSDARG00000092980.3)". The record is from RNAcentral. Lineage: Eukaryota; Metazoa; Chordata; Actinopteri; Cypriniformes; Danionidae.
UUCUUCCAAAAAAUUUACUAUAUUGGAGAGACAAAAGACGUUGUUUUACAAAGAACGUUAGGAGAGAAUAUGAUGGGCACCAGUGCUCAGGAAGCAAGAGAUUUUAAUGAUUUGGGUACAUUAUUAAGAAGCUGCACGACUGACAAAAGUAAAUAUGGAGACCAUGAAGGAAGGAGGAUUUUUCAGAGUUUAAGGACGGCUUAUAAGUCUGGCUUCAAUUUUCAGCAAAGAAAAUCUUUUGAUAAAAGAAAGAUAAAUUUUACAAAUCCAUUAGCUCGAACAAGCAGCAAAGAAGAAACAGAGAAAUCUCCAUUCUAUGGGAGAAAAAAUAAAAUAUAUUUUUUCCACUUACAAAGUCCGCUAUUUGAAGGCUCAGGAUAUCAUCAAGCCACCCCCCAACCUCUAAGGCUAAUAAUUAUUAGCCCUCCUUAA